Molecule: ribosomal RNA, 200 nt
Filed under: uncultured fungus
Lineage: Eukaryota; Fungi
Description: partial small subunit ribosomal RNA
Rfam family: Eukaryotic small subunit ribosomal RNA
Source: RNAcentral
CCAAUAGCGUAUAUUAAUGUUGCUGCGGUUAAAAAGCUCGUAGUUGGAUCUCGGUUUCGGGCGCGCGGUGCACCUUGCGGUGUUUACUGUGUGCCCGGACGAUCUUGUUGGUUCGUUCAUAGUUCUCUUAAUCGAGUGCUAUGGGUGGCCAGCACGUUUACUUUGAAAAAAUUGGAGUGCUCAAAGCAGGCGCUACAGCC